CCUGGCUUAGGAUGAACGCUAGCUACAGGCUUAACACAUGCAAGUCAGGGCAGCAUGAAGAUGUGCUUGCUACAACUUGAUGGCGACCGGCGCACGGGUGAGUAACGCGUAUCCAACCUUCCCUAUAGUAGAGAAUAGCCCGGCGAAAGUCGGAUUAAUGCUCUAUAUGUUCUAUUGAUGGCAUCAGAGAUUGAACAAAGAAUUUCGCUAUAGGAUGGGGAUGCGUCUGAUUAGCUUGUUGGCGGGGUAACGGCCCACCAAGGCGACGAUCAGUAGGGGUUCUGAGAGGAAGGUCCCCCACAUUGGUACUGAGACACGGACCAAACUCCUACGGGAGGCAGCAGUGAGGAAUAUUGGUCAAUGGGCGCAAGCCUGAACCAGCCAAGUAGCCGUGCAGGACGACUGCCCUAUGGGUUGUAAACUGCUUUUAUAGGGGAAUAAAGUGAGGUAUGUAUACCUUUUUGUAUGUACCCUAUGAAUAAGGACCGGCUAAUUCCGUGCCAGCCGCCGC
Molecule: ribosomal RNA, 511 nt
Filed under: uncultured bacterium
Lineage: Bacteria
Description: bacterial SSU rRNA
Rfam family: Bacterial small subunit ribosomal RNA
Source: RNAcentral